This 253-nucleotide ribosomal RNA is filed under the name uncultured bacterium. RNAcentral describes it as "partial 16S ribosomal RNA". It matches the Rfam family "Bacterial small subunit ribosomal RNA", at positions 524 to 776 of the family's 1533-position model. The record is from RNAcentral.
UACGUAGGGGGCAAGCGUUAUCCGGAUUUACUGGGUGUAAAGGGAGCGUAGGCGGCUAGGCAAGUCAGAUGUGAAAGCCCAGGGCUCAACCCUGGGACUGCAUUUGAAACUGCUUAGCUAGAGUGCAGGAGAGGUAAGUGGAAUUCCUAGUGUAGCGGUGAAAUGCGUAGAUAUUAGGAGGAACACCAGUGGCGAAGGCGGCUUACUGGACUGUAACUGACGCUGAGGCUCGAAAGCGUGGGGAGCAAACAGG